UUAUGAGAUACGGAUGAAACAUUCAGGGAACCAUGUAAAUGAUUCUGAAAGUGGCUACCCAGGUGCUGUAUAAGGAAGCUUGUAAUAGGAGUGGAAAACCACCCAAAAACUAUGUGUCUCAAAAUGCCAGUAGAGACAUAGAAAGAAGAGAGGAACUAGCUGGGAUAUCAUUAUGAAGAACCUAACCUCCUUGGAGUCAAACUAUUCAGAGGGAAUGCAGAUACUGAGACACCCUAGCUCAUCUAGGAAGUCGGGAAGAAAAAAGCGAGCCAAUGUUCAGUGCCACACUUGGACCACUGCAGGAAAGGCAGCUUUGUAAAGACAAUUUGAGACUUUCAUCAAACUAGGAAAAACUUUGGCUCAGGUUGACUGUCUAAAAUCAAUUUGGAAGGAGAAAUCACUGUCCAGUUUAACAUGGUGUCGUGGAAAGUUUGCUGUUAAAAAUAUUACUUCCUGGCAGAGGUGUUACAAAGAGUUAAUCCAAUUUUUAUGCCCCCUCCAUUUGAAAGAGAGGGGACGUAUAUAUUGUUUUACAUGACUAAUUUGGUCUGUAGAGCAAAUCUUGUCUGCUCAAUAUCUAAUGAAUUCUUUUGCUUGACUGUUUCCAAACUUAGUACAAUGAUUGCCCCUAGAUAGUGAAUGACCCAUAUUAAUUUACAGGUCACAGGGUCAAGGGUCAAACUGGACACAGUAAGAUAUUGUCUGUUCAAUAUCUUGAGAACGCUUUCCUGACAGACAUCAAACUCGGUAUACUGGUUUCUUUUAAGAAGUAGAUGGUUUCUUUUAAGAAGUAUAUGUCCCAUAAUGUCCUCUAUUCAUUUUGAAGUCACAAGGACAAAGGUCAAACUGUACAUAAUAAAAUAUUGUCCACUGAAUAUUUAAAGAGCCAACCCUUUACCUGACAGUUACUAAACUUGGUACAGCGGUUGACCCUAGAGAGUAGAUGACCCCUACUGAUUUCCAGAUCCCAAGGUUGAAGGUAAAAUUGGACAUAGUAAGAUACCGUCUGUUCAAUAUUUGAGAACCAUUCGCUUGACAGACAUCAAACUUGGUUCACUAUUUUUCCUUAAGAAUUAGAUACCCCAUUGAUUUUGAGGUCACAAGGUCAAGGGUCAAACUGGACAUGACAAGAUAUUGUCUGCUCAAUAUCUUGAGGAAUCUUUGCUUGACAGAUAUCAAAUCAGGUACACUGGUUCUACCUAAGGAGUAGAUGACUCCAUUUGAUUUUGAAGUCACAAGGUCAAUGGUCAAAAUACUACGGACAUAGGUAUUGUCUACACAAUAUCUUGAUUUUGCGUUUCUUGACAGGCAUCAAACUUGGUACACUGACACAUCAUAAGUGUAGAUAUCUAGUAUUCAUUUUAAGGUCAAUGGUCAAACUACUCUGGACAUCAGAUUUUGUCCAUUCAGUAUCUUGAGAACUCUUGUUUGACAAACAUCAAACUUGGUAGUCUGGUGCCGCCUAAAGAAUAGAUGGCCCCCAUUGGUUUUAAACUCUCAAGGUCAAAGGUCAGGACUCAAAUAACUGCUUAUUUGAAAAUGUCUGCUCAGUACCUUUAGAGAUCACAUAUAAUGGUUGCCUCUGACUAAUAGAUACAUUGUAACACUUAAUUUUCACUUUUGCUACAGACAUUCUAAAUGAUCAUUUUCAAUAUUGUAAUAUGGAGGCAUAUAUGUUUCUUAAAUCUUUCUUGUAAAUGGUUUUGAUACUAGUUUUAUAUACAAGAUGUAUUAUCAGCAUUUGUCAUUCACUGUACACCAUACAUUGGUUCAUUUAAAAUUGAUAAAUAUAUAAUCAACAGCAGUACACAUGAAAUAAUUUUCCAUCUAUAUCUUGAAUUGAACAAAAAGUUUAAUGAUAUUACAAGGCCUUAUAUUCAUGUGCGAUUGAAAGACUGAAUGAAUAUACUAAGAUAAUGAUAAUAUAACAGUAUUUAACUAAAACUAACUGCAGUUUAACACUAAUGUACUUAUAAUGUAAUUGAUAGUACCACACUCUUACUUGUAACUUGUUUUCAUUUAUAUUCAAUAGAUAUUUCAAGUUUGAUAGCUAACUCAAAUUUCAAAUAUGAAUGAACAUUAAAUGUCUGCUGUUUUAAGACUAAAGAGUAACUUUAUUUACAUAUGAGGUUUUUUGAGCUAAAUUGAUCAGCUUUGUAUGCUUAUGAAAUAAAUAUGUACACCUAU
Ostrea edulis (European flat oyster) is the source of this 2187-nucleotide long non-coding RNA. RefSeq lists it as uncharacterized. The record is from RefSeq and is a predicted model, not a curated record. The transcript is spliced from 3 exons. Lineage: Eukaryota; Metazoa; Mollusca; Bivalvia; Ostreida; Ostreidae.